GGAGAUGGUCCAGUGGGAAGGACGCUGACCGACGACUAGCAGACGCGGGUUCGAUCCCGCCUCGCCA
RNAcentral lists this transfer RNA (67 nucleotides) under Perca fluviatilis (European perch). Its description in RNAcentral is "tRNA-Val". Lineage: Eukaryota; Metazoa; Chordata; Actinopteri; Perciformes; Percidae. The record is from RNAcentral.